Molecule: long non-coding RNA, 561 nt
Organism: Myxocyprinus asiaticus (Chinese sucker)
Lineage: Eukaryota; Metazoa; Chordata; Actinopteri; Cypriniformes; Catostomidae
Exons: 3
Source: RefSeq, a predicted model, not a curated record
UAAUUUCUGUUUCUCAUAAUUUGUCCUUGGCUGCAUUAUAAUUUUUUCCUUAUUGGGACUAUAAUCAAAGUUUGCCUUAAAAAAAAAAUGUGUAUGCAAUUAAAUUGCACAGCAAGUAAUCAUGUCAAAUUCCACAUCAUGGCUUUGAAAGGGGGAGAAAUGCCUUGAGUUUUUUCCAUUGCAUAAUGUCAAGGAAUCUGCCAGGAGCAAAGUAGGGGAGUGCCCGCAGUGAGACCAGAGGAGAGGGCACCGCAAGAGCAAACUACUGAUCCAUGACGCUUUACAGUGGAGGAACAGCAGCUCAUCCUGGCCAGCAAGAAUUCAUCCUCACAAUCCAUGAACUCAGUGUAAAGAGAAUCAUUCUUAAAAUGUGUAUUUGUUUAAUUUCCUUCAAAUAAAUGGAUCACUAAAAUUAUUUCUGCUCACAAUAUUGUAAAUAGUAUUGUUUGACAUUGUUUAUUAUUUUCAGAUGAUUACUGUUGUUGUUAUCAGUUAUAAUGGAACUAUAGUGUUUUACUACCGGUAGUAGCUUUGUUCAUCCCUGUAUACAGUUCUGCUUGU